GCAGUCGAACGAUGAAGCCCUUCGGGGUGGAUUAGUGGCGAACGGGUGAGUAACACGUGGGCAAUCUGCCCUGCACUCUGGGACAAGCCCUGGAAACGGGGUCUAAUACCGGAUACUGAUCGCCUUGGGCAUCCUUGGUGAUCGAAAGCUCCGGCGGUGCAGGAUGAGCCCGCGGCCUAUCAGCUUGUUGGUGAGGUAAUGGCUCACCAAGGCGACGACGGGUAGCCGGCCUGAGAGGGCGACCGGCCACACUGGGACUGAGACACGGCCCAGACUCCUACGGGAGGCAGCAGUGGGGAAUAUUGCACAAUGGGCGAAAGCCUGAUGCAGCGACGCCGCGUGAGGGAUGACGGCCUUCGGGUUGUAAACCUCUUUCAGCAGGGAAGAAGCGAAAGUGACGGUACCUGCAGAAGAAGCGCCGGCUAACUACGUGCCAGCAGCCGCGGUAAUACGUAGGGCGCGAGCGUUGUCCGGAAUUAUUGGGCGUAAAGAGCUCGUAGGCGGCUUGUCGCGUCGGUUGUGAAAGCCCGGGGCUUAACCCCGGGUCUGCAGUCGAUACGGGCAGGCUAGAGUUCGGUAGGGGAGAUCGGAAUUCCUGGUGUAGCGGUGAAAUGCGCAGAUAUCAGGAGGAACACCGGUGGCGAAGGCGGAUCUCUGGGCCGAUACUGACGCUGAGGAGCGAAAGCGUGGGGAGCGAACAGGAUUAGAUACCCUGGUAGUCCACGCCGUAAACGGUGGGCACUAGGUGUGGGCGACAUUCCACGUCGUCCGUGCCGCAGCUAACGCAUU
RNAcentral lists this ribosomal RNA (789 nucleotides) under Streptomyces sp. Its description in RNAcentral is "bacterial SSU rRNA". It matches the Rfam family "Bacterial small subunit ribosomal RNA", at positions 57 to 861 of the family's 1533-position model. Lineage: Bacteria; Bacillati; Actinomycetota; Actinomycetes; Kitasatosporales; Streptomycetaceae. The record is from RNAcentral.